This 255-nucleotide ribosomal RNA is filed under the name uncultured bacterium. Its description in RNAcentral is "partial small subunit ribosomal RNA". It matches the Rfam family "Bacterial small subunit ribosomal RNA", at positions 26 to 286 of the family's 1533-position model. The record is from RNAcentral.
AGGACGAACGCUGGCGGCGUGCUUAACACAUGCAAGUCGAGCGGAAAGGCCCUUCGGGGUACUCGAGCGGCGAACGGGUGAGUAACACGUGAGCAACCUGCCCCUGGCUCUGGGAUAGCCUCCGGAAACGGGGAUUAAUACCGGACAUUCUCCUUCUUCCGCAUGGUUGAGGGUGGAAAGUUUUUCGGCCGGGGAGGGGCUCGCGGCCUAUCAGCUUGUUGGCGGGUAACGGCCCACCAAGGCGACGACGGGUAG